AUCCUGGCUCAAUAGAACGCUGGCGGCAGGCCUAACACAUGCAAGUCGAGCGCGAAAGUCUUCGGAUGAGUAGAGCGGCGGACGGGUGAGUAACGCGUGGGAAUCUACCUGGUAGUGGGGGAUAACUCGGGGAAACUCGAGCUAAUACCGCAUACGUCCUGAGGGAGAAAGCGGGGGAUCGCAAGACCUCGUGCUAUCAGAUGAGCCUGCGUAGGAUUAGCUAGUUGGUAGGGUAAAGGCCUACCAAGGCGACGAUCCUUAGCUGGUCUGAGAGGAUGAUCAGCCACACUGGGACUGAGACACGGCCCAGACUCCUACGGGAGGCAGCAGUGGGGAAUAUUGGACAAUGGGGGCAACCCUGAUCCAGCCAUGCCGCGUGUGUGAAGAAGGCCUUCGGGUUGUAAAGCACUUUCAGCGGGGAGGAAGGCAUCGUGACUAAUAUUCACGGUGAUUGACGUUACCCGCAGAAGAAGCACCGGCUAACUCCGUGCCAGCAGCCGCGGUAAUACGGAGGGUGCGAGCGUUUAUCGGAAUUACUGGGCGUAAAGCGCGCGUAGGCGGCUUGUUAAGUCGGAUGUGAAAUCCCCGGGCUCAACCUGGGAAUUGCAUCCGAUACUGGCGAGCUUGAGUGCGAUAGAGGGGGGUAGAAUUCCUAGUGUAGCGGUGAAAUGCGUAGAUAUUAGAGGAAUACCGGUGGCGAAGCGGCCCCCUGGAUCGACACUGACGCUGAGUGCGAAAGCGUGGUAGCAAC
This 751-nucleotide ribosomal RNA is filed under the name uncultured bacterium. Its description in RNAcentral is "bacterial SSU rRNA". It matches the Rfam family "Bacterial small subunit ribosomal RNA", at positions 16 to 772 of the family's 1533-position model. The record is from RNAcentral.